GAUGAAGAACGUAGCGAAAUGCGAUACUAGGUGUGAAUUGCAGAAUCCCGUGAACCAUCGAGUCUUUGAACGCAAGUUGCGCCCGAAGCCACUAGGCCGAGGGCACGCCUGCCUGGGCGUCACACGCCGUUGCCCCCCCAUCUACUCCUUCGGGAUUGCGGGGGGGCGGAUGAUGGCCUCCCGUGCGCCUAGCCGCGCGGUUGGCAUAAAUACCAAGUCCUCGGCGACGCACGCCACGACAAUCGGUGGUUGCGAAACCUCGGUUGCCCGUCGUGUGCGUUCGUCGCGCAUCGAGGGCUCGAAAAAAUGCUCGGCUCCGGCUGGGCUUUCAACGCGACCCCAGGUCAGGCGGGGUUACCCGCUGAAUUUAAGCAUAUCAAUAAGCGGAGGA
This 391-nucleotide unclassified non-coding RNA is filed under the name soil metagenome. RNAcentral's name for it is "partial contains 5.8S ribosomal RNA, internal transcribed spacer 2, and large subunit ribosomal RNA". The stretch from base 1 to 122 matches the Rfam family "5.8S ribosomal RNA", at positions 35 to 154 of the family's 154-position model. The record is from RNAcentral.